Molecule: ribosomal RNA, 373 nt
Filed under: uncultured bacterium
Lineage: Bacteria
Description: bacterial SSU rRNA
Rfam family: Bacterial small subunit ribosomal RNA
Source: RNAcentral
GACGUAAGUGGCAAGCGUUAUCCGGAAUUACUGGGCGUAAAGCGCGCGUAGGCGGCGAUACAAGUCAGGGGUGAAAAGUCAGGGCUUAACCUUGGCCUUGCCUUUGAAACUGUAUUGCUAGAGUACUGGAUAGGAGGGCGGAACUACAAGUGUAGCGGUGGAAUGCGUAGAUAUUUGUAGGAAUGCCGAUGACGAAGGUAGCUCUCUGGACAGAUACUGACGCUGAGGUGCGAAAGCUAGGGGAGCAAACAGGAUUAGAUACCCUGGUAGUCCUAGCUGUAAACGAUGAUUACUGGGUGUGGGCCAUAGCAUGGUCUGUGCCGAAGCUAACGCGAUAAGUAAUCCGCCUGGGGAGUACGGUCGCAAGAUUGAA